This 253-nucleotide ribosomal RNA is filed under the name uncultured bacterium. RNAcentral's name for it is "partial 16S ribosomal RNA". It matches the Rfam family "Bacterial small subunit ribosomal RNA", at positions 524 to 776 of the family's 1533-position model. The record is from RNAcentral.
UACGUAGGGUGCGAGCGUUAAUCGGAAUUACUGGGCGUAAAGCGUGCGCAGGCGGUUACUUAAGUCAGGUGUGAAAGCCCCGAGCUUAACUUGGGAAUUGCGCUUGUGACUGGCGUGCUGGAGUGUGGCAGAGGGAGGUGGAAUUCCACGUGUAGCAGUGAAAUGCGUAGAUAUCGGGAGGAACACCAGUGGCGAAGGCGACUACCUGGCCUGUUCUUGACGCUGAGGCGCGAAAGCUAGGGGAGCAAACGGG